GGACGAUCCAAUUCUAUCGAGCCUUUUGCCGCCUACCGACAUACUCCUCGCUGCUCUACUAAUCGCAAAGGGCCUCCCAUGUGUCCGUCCGUAUCCAGUGAUCCCUGUAGGACUUCCAAUUUGAUGGUGAUUAGGAACCGAAAUGCUUGAUGGUGGACUGUCGUAGGCUGUGUAAUUCAUCUCGAAAUCUACGUAUGGCCACCUGCUCGAAGAUCG
RNAcentral lists this long non-coding RNA (216 nucleotides) under Elaeis guineensis (African oil palm). RNAcentral describes it as "long non-coding RNA (EGUI_LNC031478)". Lineage: Eukaryota; Viridiplantae; Streptophyta; Magnoliopsida; Arecales; Arecaceae. The record is from RNAcentral.